RNAcentral lists this ribosomal RNA (1316 nucleotides) under uncultured bacterium. RNAcentral describes it as "bacterial SSU rRNA". It matches the Rfam family "Bacterial small subunit ribosomal RNA", at positions 50 to 1381 of the family's 1533-position model. The record is from RNAcentral.
AACACAGGCUAGGCGAACGGAAAGGCCUUUUCGGAGGCACUCGAGGGGCGAACGGGUGAGAAACAUUUGGGUGAUCUGCCCUGCACUCUGGGAUAAGCCUGGGAAACUGGGGCCAAUACCGGAUAGGACUGCACUUUAGUGUGUGUGGUGGAAAGUUUUUUCGGUGUAGGAUGAGCCCGCCGCCUAUCAGCUUGUUGGUGGGGUAAUGGCCUACCAAGGCGGCGACGGGUAGCCGGACUGAGAGGUUGGUCGGCCACAUUGGGACUGAGAUACGGCCCACACUCCUACGGGAGGCAGCAGUGGGGAAUAUUGCACAACGGGCGCAAGCCUGAUGCAACGACGCCGCGUGGGGCGAGACAGCCUUCGAGUUGGAAACUCCCCUCGCCAAGGACGGAGCGAAUCGUGACGGGACCAGAAGAAGAAGCACCGGCUAAGCACGCGCCAGCAGCCACGGUAAUACGUAGGGUGCAAGCGCUGGCCUGGAAUUACUGGGCGUAAAGAGCUCGUAGGUGGUUUGUCACGUCGUCUGUGAAAUUCCACAGCUUAACUGUGGGCGUGCAGGCGAUACGGGCUGACUUGAGUACUGUAGGGGUAACUGGAAUUCCUGGUGUAGCGGUGAAAUGCGCAGAUAUCAGGAGGAACACCGAUGGCGAAGGCAGGUUACUGGGCAGUUACUGACGCUGAGGAGCGAAAGCAUGGGUAGCAAACAGGAUUAGAUACCCUGGUAGUCCAUGCCGUAAACGGUGGGCGCUAGGUGUAGGGGCCUUUUGGGGUUUCUGUGCCGUAGCUAACGCAUUAAGCGCCCCGCCUGGGGAGUACGGCCGCAAGGCUAAAGCUCAAAGGAAUUGACGGGGGCCCGCACAAGCGGCGGAGCAUGUGGAUUAAUUCGAUGCAACGCGAAGAACCUUACCUGGGCUUGACAUACACCGGAUCGCUGCAGAGAUGUAGUUUCCCUUGUGGCUGGUGUACAGGUGGUGCAUGGCUGUCGUCAGCUCGUGUCGUGAGAUGUUGGGUUAAGUCCCGCAACGAGCGCAACCCUUGUCUUAUGUUGCCAGCACGUUAUGGUGGGGACUCAUGAGAGACUGCCGGGGUUAACUCGGAGGAAGGUGGGGACGACGUCAAGUCAUCAUGCCCCUUAUGUCCAGGGCUUCACACAUGCUACAAUGGCCGGUACAAUGCGCAGCGAGCCUGUGAGGGUGAGCUAAUCGCUUAAAGCUGGUCUUAGUUCGGAUUGGGGUCUGCAACUCGACCCCAUGAAGUCGGAGUCGCUAGUAAUCGCAGAUCAGCAAUGCUGCGGUGAAUACGUUCCCGGGCCU